Podarcis lilfordi (Lilford's wall lizard) is the source of this 75-nucleotide non-coding RNA. The record is from the annotation of a GenBank genome assembly. Lineage: Eukaryota; Metazoa; Chordata; Lepidosauria; Squamata; Lacertidae.
GGAAGGUGUGUAGCUCAGUGACAGAACAUCUGCCUUGCAUGCAGAGGGUCCCCAGUUCAAUACCUGGCAUCUCCA